UACACUUUUGUUCCUUUUAGGUACUAAUGUGUACAUUUUAGGAGCUAAUAUGUACAUUUUAGGAGCUAAUAUGUACAUUUUAGGUGCUAAUAUGUAAAUUCUAGGUGCUAAUAUGUACAUUCUAGGUGCUAAUAUGCACAUUUUAGGAGCUAAUAUGUACAUUUUAGGAGCUAAUAUGUACAUUUUAGGUGCUAAUAUGUACAUUCUAGGUGCUAAUAUGUACAUUUUAGGAGCUAAUAUGUACAUUCUAGGUGCUAAUAUGUACAUUUUAGGAGCUAAUAUGUACAUUUUAGGUGCUAAUAUGUAAAUUUUAGGAGCUAAUAUGUACAUUUUAGGUGCUAAUAUGUACAUUUUAGGUGCUAAUAUGUACAUUUUAGGUGCUAAUAUGUACAUUCUAGGUGCUAAUAUGCACAUUUUAGGAGCUAAUAUGUACAUUUUAGGAGCUAAUAUGUACAUUUUAGGUGCUAAUAUGUACAUUUUAGGUGCUAAUAUGUAAAUUUUAGGU
Rhinichthys klamathensis goyatoka is the source of this 505-nucleotide long non-coding RNA. RefSeq lists it as uncharacterized. The transcript has 2 exons. The record is from RefSeq and is a predicted model, not a curated record. NCBI's taxonomy places the organism in Eukaryota, Metazoa, Chordata, Actinopteri, Cypriniformes, Leuciscidae.